RNAcentral lists this ribosomal RNA (435 nucleotides) under uncultured Bradyrhizobium sp. RNAcentral describes it as "bacterial SSU rRNA". It matches the Rfam family "Bacterial small subunit ribosomal RNA", at positions 958 to 1392 of the family's 1533-position model. The record is from RNAcentral. Lineage: Bacteria; Pseudomonadati; Pseudomonadota; Alphaproteobacteria; Hyphomicrobiales; Nitrobacteraceae.
AACGCGAAGAACCUUACCAGCCCUUGACAUGUCCAGGACCGGUCGCAGAGAUGUGACCUUCCCUUCGGAGCCUGGAACACAGGUGCUGCAUGGCUGUCGUCAGCUCGUGUCGUGAGAUGUUGGGUUAAGUCCCGCAACGAGCGCAACCCCCGUCCUUAGUUGCUACCAUUUAGUUGAGCACUCUAAGGAGACUGCCGGUGAUAAGCCGCGAGGAAGGUGGGGAUGACGUCAAGUCCUCAUGGCCCUUACGGGCUGGGCUACACACGUGCUACAAUGGCGGUGACAAUGGGAUGCUAAGGGGCGACCCUUCGCAAAUCUCAAAAAGCCGUCUCAGUUCGGAUUGGGCUCUGCAACUCGAGCCCAUGAAGUUGGAAUCGCUAGUAAUCGUGGAUCAGCACGCCACGGUGAAUACGUUCCCGGGCCUUGUACACACCG